Long non-coding RNA from Sus scrofa (pig), 3242 nucleotides. RefSeq lists it as uncharacterized. NCBI's taxonomy places the organism in Eukaryota, Metazoa, Chordata, Mammalia, Artiodactyla, Suidae. The record is from RefSeq and is a predicted model, not a curated record.
AACAACAACAACAACAAAAGACAAAAGACAAAACAAACAAACAAACAAACAAAAAAACCCACGGUGUUAGAAAGUCCAAGGAACGGGAAUACACUAAGACAGAAGGAAGCGAUGCCAACAGCUUUGGGAGGAUUGCGGCGCAGUGGGGACGGUCUGGAGUCAGGGCUGGCAUUUUCUAGCUUUGUGAUGUUGCCCCGAAUUCGGACGUGGUAGAGGCGCUACUUUGCCAGCUGUAACAUGGGGAUAACACUUCCUUAUACGGUUGUGGUGGUGAAGUCACUGAGCACGGAGUUGGCACAUAGUAACCACAGUAGGCAGUGAAGAGUAGGAAUGUAGGUGCAGUAGGUAUACUUGCAAUAAACCACAGAGAUUCAAGGAGCAAACUACGCAUAGGGUCCUUACAAAUCUCCAAGCAUAUAAGGAUCCUAAAAAACGGUCAAAAGUGGUCACAGCCUACGGAGGUGGUAGUAACAGUUAAUGAAUGAAUUCAAUGACUACUACAGAUAAAAAAAAAUCCCUUCCUCAUUAAACUCACUAGUAAAGAAGUAAAAGGUAAUGCAAAUCUCGGUUGCCAUUAUAAUAAUGGAGACGCUGGUGAAACCACGGUGAACUAGGAAUAUCCGGGAAUUCCUGGUAGAAGUGUGUUUAUUAUUUUGGAAGAGAAUUUGGUAAAUAUUAUCAAGAGCCGUAACAUUCUACAUUUUGAUCUCCUGAUUCUGUUCUUGGCAAUGAACUAACUCAAGUUAGGAGGAAGCUAUACUUAUAACAAGGCAUGUAGCUAAGAUUAUAAGAAUAAAAAAAUCUAAUAAUACAGCAGUAGUCACUUUGUCAUAGAAUAGUAGCUCUAUGAGAUAUUAUAUGGUGAUUAAAAAUAGCAGAGGGUAUACAAAAUGGAGUACAUAUAAAAUGAUGUCCAGUAGGAUACAAUGUAUUGAAGUAACUAGAAGUAUUGAAAAAAAUCAUAUAUAAAUAUAUAUGGAUACAGAUGAAAGGAUGCUGUGAAGAAAUGCAAUUCAUUUAUAUUGGUAGAGGGUUUUGGAUAUAAUUAUAUGUGUAUUAUUUUAUUAAUAAAUAUGGUAAAAUAACUCUAUUAUGAAGCAAUAACUCCUCGUGAUUCAUUUUAUGGAGUGACCAAUAUUAGGUAUAAAAUCCAAUUCAGGGACUCCCAGUAAAGGCACAAACAAGCUCUGAGGGGCAUUUCCUGGCUCAGUUGAGAAAUACCGUUGACAACACACCUGAAAACGUCUCUCUAAAGAAAACUUUACUUCUUAAGGUUGGAGUUUGGUUCCCUGACGCUCUUUCAUAUUAUUAUAAGCACUCUGACAUUUAAUUUGGGAAAUCAUUCUCUAUUAGAUGUGAAAACAGCUUCAAAAGUCACUUACGAAAGUAGCAGAUAACUAAAAGAAUAUUAUACAUGAUGGCACCAACCAAACAGAAAUGUUUGGUCAUUCACCGGUUCUGUAGUUUUUGAGGAACCCUCCGAGUUUUAUAAAUGACAAAAACACUUUGUCAAAGCCUCAGAUCAGGCCCUACGUGUGCAUGUGAAGAGGAGCUAUUUCUGUCUCUGGGCUCCAGUUACACAGCCCGAGCUGGGCGCUUUGUUCUCAGAACUCACGCUGUCAUCAAAAGGGACUCCGUACAAAUAGAGCAGUGGGCCCGCAGUGGCUGAGCCGUAACCACAGCUGCAAACCCUCCGUCAUGUGAACUCGCCGGGCUUUUUCUGGGUCUGGAAUGCCUGCUGGCCACGCCUUCCCUGCCUGGCCUCAGCCUGCACCCCCGUCCAUUCUUACAUCCACUCCGCUCCCCCACGUGGCCCAGGCCGCCUCCCUCCCUCUGGCCUCCGGAGCAGCUGUUUUCACGCCGCCUGUGGUCGUCGUCGUAGGGCCGGUCCUGUGGGUCCCCUCCCAGCAGGAUCCGUGCCUGUCCAGGGGAGAACCGUGGGUGUCUACCUCGUGGUGACAUGGUGUCUGGCCCGUGGGCCCUGGAGGAACCUUAGUGUGUGGUCUUUGGAGGGACUAGAAGGGUCCAUGAGGUCCCUGAAAUCGUGGGCAGCUUGUGUGCACAGGCAGAUGGCGAGGUUGAGGCCUCCCAGCAGGGGUUUCUCGAUUCCUUUGUCCCUUUAAGCCCCCUGGGGGUUGAGCCGGUCCCGGAGGCCUCUUUCCCCUCCAUGGCCAGUGACUGGUUUAGGCGCUGGCCAGCGACUCUCAGACCCAUGGGGCCGAGGGCAAGAUGGUGGGAAACUGGGGGACAGGGCGUUUUCACGGGUGGGGGAGGCCAGAGGCGGCCGGCCCUCUUCAUCCAGUCCCGGGCCCUUUGGGGACCACAGGCCACUGAUAGGACAGAAGCAGAGUGGGAAGUGCAUGUGUUUGGGGGGGCACUGGAGCCUCAGGUGUGACCGAGCAUGGCCUCCACCAGCCCUGACUGGUUCACUCGGCGUGUCAUGUGAUACCGCACACACACUGUUUCUGGAGGAGUUUUCAUUGCAUUUCCUCUAUUUUUGUAGCCGAUGCAUCUGACAGGAAGUCGUAGUUUUCAUUAGCUGAAGAAAAGGAUCUGCCUCCCCUCCCCUGCCAGGGUUCAGGAUCUCUCUAGAAGGCGCUCAGAGGAUGUAGACUGACUCACUGACUGACAGACUGACACGGCUCCGUGUAACCCAGAUGUUGCAUCACCUCCCUUUGGCUGCAGCACUGAAGUACCACGACCGGGGUGCUUAAACAACACAAUUUGCUUUCUCGGGGUGCUGCGCGCAGAAGUUGGAGACACGGUGCGGGCUGCGCUGCUUCCCGCUGAGGCCGCGCUCUCCCAGUCCCCCCCUGGCUUGUGAGAUGACGGCUUCAAUCUCCGCCUUCAUCGGAGCUGGCAUGCUCCGCGUGUGUUCACAUUUCCCCUUUUUAUGAGGACAGCAGGGAUACCGGCUCAGGGCCAGGCUACUCCAGGAUGACUCAUCUUAACUGAUUACAUGGGCAAGGACCCUAUUUCCCAAUAAAGUCACAGUGAAUUUUGGGGGGGAACACAAUUCAACCCACAAUAGAUGGAGUGGUACAUAUGCAUGGUGCAAAUCUAGAAAAUAGAAGCAAGCACAAAAGAAGAAGAAACCCUUUUAUCACUGAGUGAUCCUGGCUGUGAAUAUCUUAGAGGCCCGAAAAAAAAAAUCUUAAAAUUAGACAAAAUGAGUGUAUUGUUUCAUAUCUUUAUUCAAUGAUCUCUACCUUUCUACUUCACUAAAUUUCUUCUCAUCAAUA